This 1700-nucleotide ribosomal RNA is filed under the name Campylobacter coli. RNAcentral describes it as "partial 23S ribosomal RNA". It matches the Rfam family "Bacterial large subunit ribosomal RNA", at positions 1244 to 2925 of the family's 2925-position model. Lineage: Bacteria; Pseudomonadati; Campylobacterota; Epsilonproteobacteria; Campylobacterales; Campylobacteraceae. The record is from RNAcentral.
UUUGCGUCGAAGGUAUACCGGUAAGGAGUGCUGGAGCGAAUAGAAGUGAGCAUGCAGGCAUGAGUAGCGAUAAUUAAUGUGAGAAUCAUUAACGCCGUAAACCCAAGGUUUCCUACGCGAUGCUCGUCAUCGUAGGGUUAGUCGGGUCCUAAGUCGAGUCCGAAAGGGGUAGACGAUGGCAAAUUGGUUAAUAUUCCAAUACCAACAUUAGUGUGCGAUGGAAGGACGCUUAGGGCUAAGGGGGCUAGCGGAUGGAAGUGCUAGUCUAAGGUCGUAGGAGGUUAUACAGGCAAAUCCGUAUAACAAUACUCCGAGAACUGAAAGGCUUUUUGAAGUCUUCGGAUGGAUAGAAGAACCCCUGAUGCCAUCGAGCCAAGAAAAGUUUCUAAGUUUAGCUAAUGUUGCCCGUACCGUAAACCGACACAGGUGGGUGGGAUGAGUAUUCUAAGGCGCGUGGAAGAACUCUCUUUAAGGAACUCUGCAAAAUAGCACCGUAUCUUCGGUAUAAGGUGUGGUUAGCUUUGUAUUAGGAUUUACUCCGAAAGCAAGGAAACUUACAACAAAGAGUCCCUCCCGACUGUUUACCAAAAACACAGCACUCUGCUAACUCGUAAGAGGAUGUAUAGGGUGUGACGCCUGCCCGGUGCUCGAAGGUUAAUUGAUGGGGUUAGCAUUAGCGAAGCUCUUGAUCGAAGCCCGAGUAAACGGCGGCCGUAACUAUAACGGUCCUAAGGUAGCGAAAUUCCUUGUCGGUUAAAUACCGACCUGCAUGAAUGGCGUAACGAGAUGGGAGCUGUCUCAAAGAGGGAUCCAGUGAAAUUGUAGUGGAGGUGAAAAUUCCUCCUACCCGCGGCAAGACGGAAAGACCCCGUGGACCUUUACUACAGCUUGACACUGCUAUUUGGAUAAGAAUGUGCAGGAUAGGUGGGAGGCUUUGAGUAUAUGACGCCAGUUGUAUAUGAGCCAUUGUUGAGAUACCACUCUUUCUUAUUUGGGUAGCUAACCAGCUUGAGUUAUCCUCAAGUGGGACAAUGUCUGGUGGGUAGUUUGACUGGGGCGGUCGCCUCCCAAAUAAUAACGGAGGCUUACAAAGGUUGGCUCAGAACGGUUGGAAAUCGUUCGUAGAGUAUAAAGGUAUAAGCCAGCUUAACUGCAAGACAUACAAGUCAAGCAGAGACGAAAGUCGGUCUUAGUGAUCCGGUGGUUCUGUGUGGAAGGGCCAUCGCUCAAAGGAUAAAAGGUACCCCGGGGAUAACAGGCUGAUCUCCCCCAAGAGCUCACAUCGACGGGGAGGUUUGGCACCUCGAUGUCGGCUCAUCGCAUCCUGGGGCUGGAGCAGGUCCCAAGGGUAUGGCUGUUCGCCAUUUAAAGCGGUACGCGAGCUGGGUUCAGAACGUCGUGAGACAGUUCGGUCCCUAUCUGCCGUGGGCGUAAGAAGAUUGAAGAGAUUUGACCCUAGUACGAGAGGACCGGGUUGAACAAACCACUGGUGUAGCUGUUGUUCUGCCAAGAGCAUCGCAGCGUAGCUAAGUUUGGAAAGGAUAAACGCUGAAAGCAUCUAAGCGUGAAGCCAACUCUAAGAUGAAUCUUCUCUAAGCUCUCUAGAAGACUACUAGUUUGAUAGGCUGGGUGUGUAAUGGAUGAAAGUCCUUUAGCUGACCAGUACUAAUAGAGCGUUUGGCUUAUCUUUAAUAAAGCAU